RNAcentral lists this ribosomal RNA (500 nucleotides) under uncultured bacterium. Its description in RNAcentral is "partial 16S ribosomal RNA". It matches the Rfam family "Bacterial small subunit ribosomal RNA", at positions 30 to 523 of the family's 1533-position model. The record is from RNAcentral.
AUUGAACGCUGGCGGCAUGCUUUACACAUGCAAGUCGAACGGUAACAGGGUGCUUGCACCGCUGACGAGUGGCGAACGGGUGAGUAAUGCGUCGGAACGUGCCGAGUAGUGGGGGAUAACGCAGCGAAAGUUGUGCUAAUACCGCAUACGUACUGAGGUAGAAAGUGGGGGACCUUCGGGCCUCACGCUAUUCGAGCGGCCGACGUCUGAUUAGCUAGUAGGUGAGGUAAAGGCUCACCUAGGCGACGAUCAGUAGCGGGUCUGAGAGGAUGAUCCGCCACACUGGGACUGAGACACGGCCCAGACUCCUGCGGGAGGCAGCAGUGGGGAAUUUUGGACAAUGGGCGAAAGCCUGAUCCAGCCAUGCCGCGUGUCUGAAGAAGGCCUUCGGGUUGUAAAGGACUUUUGUCAGGGAGGAAAUCCCUAGUGCUAAUAACACUGGGGGAUGACAGUAUCUGAAGAAUAAGCACCGGCUAACUACGUGCCAGCCGCCGCAGUAA